GUUUGAUUGUUUUCAAGAAUUUUAUUCAAGUUUUAAAUAUUACAUAAUUAUGCUAAUAUGGCAUGGUGAUGAUACAGUUAAAAAGGACUGUUGGAAGGAGGCAUCGUAGUCUCGCUCGUUUGUUGCUACAGCUUGGUGUGGAUCGUCGAUGUGAUGUGACUGAUGUUUUGUUGGAAGUUGUUCUCAAUGAACUUUUGCUUUGGUCUCGAGCGGUUGCCGCUCGAAGAAUUCUCUGGCUGGAUUUGGGAACUUUGUUGUGUAGACUGUCGUCCACUGGUGUUUGUAUAUAAGCGAGACUUUGUUUUUCUUAUUAUUGUAAGUACGGUUAGAAUUUACAAGUUGUUUUCUGAUUGUUCUUGGAUAAUAAAAGUUAUUUAUAU
RNAcentral lists this long non-coding RNA (380 nucleotides) under Androctonus crassicauda. Lineage: Eukaryota; Metazoa; Arthropoda; Arachnida; Scorpiones; Buthidae. The record is from RNAcentral.